GCAGUCGUAACAGAGUAGCCGUGGAGUUCCUGCCUGUAAGACUGGGAUAACUCCGGGAAACCGGGGCUAAUACCGGAUGCUUGUUUGAACCGCAUGGUUCAAACAUAAAAGGUGGCUUCGGCUACCACUUACAGAUGGACCCGCGGCGCAUUAGCUAGUUGGUGAGGUAACGGCUCACCAAGGCAACGAUGCGUAGCCGACCUGAGAGGGUGAUCGGCCACACUGGGACUGAGACACGGCCCAGACUCCUACGGGAGGCAGCAGUAGGGAAUCUUCCGCAAUGGACGAAAGUCUGACGGAGCAACGCCGCGUGAGUGAUGAAGGUUUUCGGAUCGUAAAGCUCUGUUGUUAGGGAAGAACAAGUACCGUUCGAAUAGGGCGGUACCUUGACGGUACCUAACCAGAAAGCCACGGCUAACUACGUGCCAGCAGCCGCGGUAAUACGUAGGUGGCAAGCGUUGUCCGGAAUUAUUGGGCGUAAAGGGCUCGCAGGCGGUUUCUUAAGUCUGAUGUGAAAGCCCCCGGCUCAACCGGGGAGGGUCAUUGGAAACUGGGGAACUUGAGUGCAGAAGAGGAGAGUGGAAUUCCACGUGUAGCGGUGAAAUGCGUAGAGAUGUGGAGGAACACCAGUGGCGAAGGCGACUCUCUGGUCUGUAACUGACGCUGAAGAGCGAAAGCGUGGGGAGCGAACAAGAUUAGAUACCCUGGUAGUCCACGCCGUAAACGAUGAGUGCUAAGUGUUAGGGGGUUUCCGCCCCUUAGUGCUGCAGCUAACGCAUUAAGCACUCCGCCUGGGGGAG
This 800-nucleotide ribosomal RNA is filed under the name Bacillus subtilis subsp. subtilis. Its description in RNAcentral is "bacterial SSU rRNA". It matches the Rfam family "Bacterial small subunit ribosomal RNA", at positions 94 to 881 of the family's 1533-position model. The record is from RNAcentral. Lineage: Bacteria; Bacillati; Bacillota; Bacilli; Caryophanales; Bacillaceae.